CACUGACAGCUGAUCCCUUUGACCCUUUCAUAAUGCUUUGAACCCCAGCAGAAGGUUAGUUCCCUUGAAAACUGCCUUUUUAUGCAUACUCUGUCCCAAACUUCCAAAGCCUCCAGUCCCCCAGCCGAGACCUGGUCUGCAGAGGAGAAGCUUCAAGCAAAUGGGCAGCCAGAUGUAUCAAGCAACUGCUUUGUGCUACUCCCUGUUGUUGAGGGAUGCUCUGAUUUACUGUUUAGUCUUGUUGGAAACUGAGGAUGUUGGUGGAGACUUCCUCCCUCCCCAGACACGAACACCCAAAGGCACGACGGGUUUUUACUAAGCCUUAAAGAGUGGCUCAAUAUAGGGAAUUCUCUCACAACUCCUGUGUGACUCCAUGAAAUCAGCCCUGCCAACUUUCUGAAGCCUGAAAACAGCUAAAGACAGGAUUCCAAACAGUUAACUUCAAAUAGCUCAUUUUCUCUCAGCUCUCCACAAAUUCCUGUCAUGUUGCAUUACAUGUAAACAACUCAGAAACUUAAUGACAUGCCUUUCAGUCAAAAACUGAUAUGGCUUUUCAGUCUGAGCAGAUUAAUUGCAGUUUGUAACAAUAUGAAGUGUUGCAGUCUGAUUAGAGUUUCUAUUGCUUUUGGGGAUAAAAUAUUUUAUGUGAAUGUAAAGCCAAGUUUUUUGCUGGCAUGACUUUAUUGACUUCUGCAG
RNAcentral lists this long non-coding RNA (696 nucleotides) under Apteryx owenii (little spotted kiwi). RNAcentral describes it as "lncRNA (ENSAOWG00000016469.1)". Lineage: Eukaryota; Metazoa; Chordata; Aves; Apterygiformes; Apterygidae. The record is from RNAcentral.